Molecule: ribosomal RNA, 505 nt
Filed under: uncultured bacterium
Lineage: Bacteria
Description: partial 16S ribosomal RNA
Rfam family: Bacterial small subunit ribosomal RNA
Source: RNAcentral
AUUGAACGCUGGCGGCAGGCCUAACACAUGCAAGUCGAACGGCAGCGGGGGAUAGCUUGCUAUCCUGCCGGCGAGUGGCGGACGGGUGAGUAAUGCAUGGGGAGCUGCCCAGUCGAGGGGGAUAACAACUGGAAACGGUUGCUGAUACCGCAUACGCCCUAAGGGGGAAAGGUGGGGAACUUCGGUCCUACCGCGAUUGGAUGCGCCCAUGUGGGAUUAGCUAGUUGGUGAGGUAACGGCUCACCAAGGCGACGAUCUCUAGCUGGUCUGAGAGGAUGACCAGCCACACUGGAACUGAGACACGGUCCAGACUACUACGGGAGGCAGCAGUGGGGAAUAUUGCACAAUGGGGGAAACCCUGAUGCAGCCAUGCCGCGUGUGUGAAGAAGGCCUUCGGGUUGUAAAGCACUUUCAGUCAGGAGGAAGGGGUGAUGGCUAAUAUCCAUCAUCAUUGACGUUACUGACAGAAGAAGCACCGGCUAACUCCGUGCCAGCCGCCGCCGUA